This 414-nucleotide unclassified non-coding RNA is filed under the name soil metagenome. Its description in RNAcentral is "partial contains 5.8S ribosomal RNA, internal transcribed spacer 2, and large subunit ribosomal RNA". The stretch from base 2 to 121 matches the Rfam family "5.8S ribosomal RNA", at positions 35 to 154 of the family's 154-position model. The record is from RNAcentral.
AGAUGAAGAACGUAGCGAAAUGCGAUAAGUAAUGUGAAUUGCAGAAUUCAGUGAAUCAUCGAAUCUUUGAACGCACCUUGCGCUCUUUGGUAUUCCGAAGAGCAUGCCUGUUUGAGUGUCAUGAAAAUAUCAACCUUGACUUGGGUUUUGUGCUCUAGUCUCGGCUUGGAAUUGGGUGCUUGCCGCUUUUACGAGCGGCUCACCUUAAAUGUAUUAGCUGGAUCUGUCUUUGAGACUUGGUUUGACUUGGCGUCAUAAGUAUUUCGCUAAGGACAUUCUUCGGAGUGGCCUCGUUUCUAGGACGCUUGUCCGCUUUCCAAUACAAGUUCCACCUCGUGGACAUGACUUUUUAUUAUCUGGCCUCAAAUCAGGUAGGAAUACCCGCUGAACUUAAGCAUAUCAAUAAGCGGAGGA